This is a non-coding RNA of Picea glauca (white spruce), 122 nucleotides long. The record is from Rfam. Lineage: Eukaryota; Viridiplantae; Streptophyta; Pinopsida; Pinales; Pinaceae.
ACAUGCUUACAACAUAGCGUUGAUGCACCGGAUCCCAUUAGAACUCUGCAGUUAAGUGAACUCAGGCUAGAGUAGUACCUCGGAUGGGUGACCACCCGGGAAGUCCUAGCGUUUUACAUGCC